This is a long non-coding RNA of Anas platyrhynchos (mallard), 8446 nucleotides long. RefSeq lists it as uncharacterized. The record is from RefSeq and is a predicted model, not a curated record. NCBI's taxonomy places the organism in Eukaryota, Metazoa, Chordata, Aves, Anseriformes, Anatidae.
CCGCAGAAGUCGCAGGCGAAGGGCUUCUCGCCGGUGUGCGUGCGGAUGUGGGUGGUGAGGUGGUCGCUGCGGCUGAAGUUGCGCAUGCAGAUGCGGCACUGGAAGGGCUUGUGGCCCGUGUGGAUGCGGAUGUGGCGGGAAAGCAACUCUCACACGAUCUGUAGCGUGCAAGGCCCCUACUCAGUGGCAUACAGGUGGCAUACAGGGGGGAAAAAAAAAUCGACAACCCAAGCAGCAGCAAGACACGGCAACGCCUGAGAGAUGCUACAACAGCACACUCCUGCUCCAAAGCAACAAACCAGCAUAUACAGGAAGGCUACAACAUCCUCAUCUUUCAGUUUUAACUCUAGAUACCAACAUUCACAGGUUUUAGGACAUCAAGUCACGUGCCACGUGGACUUACCUCUGUGUUGGGUCCCAAAUGCUGUUAGGUCGCGUCUCGCAGGCUCCUCUCCACCCGUGCAACACCUUACACCAGCUGAGAAAGGCUCUCUCACUUGCUCAGUUUUUGUUUCACUGCUCCUCCAGUCAGUGCAGAACCCAGGCUAGACAGGAGCAUACCUAAAAAAGUAAAAUUGUCAGGGGCAUUUGUCAUGCUUUCUAAGGAACGGCAGGCACAAAUCUAGAUAUUUUCCCUUAUGGGUGAUCUGGGAAGUGCACGCAGUAAUUAGGAAAUAUAUGCACUUACUGUUUUUUAACAUAUAGUAAGAUUUUUUUUAUUAUUUUUAUUUUUUUUUACCAUUUCUUUCUAGCACUUAAUGUACAGCCAAUACAGUUUGGCAUGUGAGACUUAGUUGAAAGAAAGCUCGUGUUCAAUUUCAGUAGGAUCCUAGAUAUUUUGGUUUAAAAAAAAAAUAAUCUCAAUUUAAAAGUUAAAUUGUGACAGAGAGACAGAAAGAGAGAGACAGGUUCUGGGAAAUUUGACUGAGAAGUAGGAGCAAUUGUAUUGUACCUUCCCAUUACAGCGGAGCUAUAAUUGGUCUCAUCACUACUAUGAAAGAACAAAAUAUUGGAAUCUGUUGUGCAGUGGGGCAAGUUACUUUACAUGAAUUUGAGAAAUGGGUAACUCUAAGUAGAGUAUCCUCCUUCCUAAAAAACGUCGUGCAUGUGUCAGAUACGGGUUUAAGUGAUAUUCGACAGUAUCUUCCUAUAUUAUUUUGAAAUACCAUGCACCCACUGAUGACACUAAAUCAUAAAGCACAUGAAAGAGAGAAGAAGCAGAGUUUCACAUCCCCAUAUCUCAAUUCCACCUUUGAACCAACUCGGCAACUUUAACAUUAUUCUGCUGUGACAGAGGAUUCUGUGAAAGACUGACACGAAUACACUUUAACAGACCUCCUGGCUAACUUCACAUAAGGAAUACUGCUGUUAUUUGACUUUGUUGGUUAAUUUUAAAAGCUUUCGACUUUGUUGGUUAAUUUUAAAAGCUUUCUUAAGGAUGAGGUAAAUUGUGCCUGAUUUCCAGCCUCUACGUAGACAAUCAAGUCACACUCAAUGGGAGCUUUGUCUGAAGGGCGUCAGGAUCUGGUGCAGGGCAAGAUGGAAACAUAGUUAAUGCUUGGUCUUCAGGAAGACAUUGACAGAUUAAACUUGAAUGGUUCUGGUCCCUUUUCAGAUAUUCGUGCUGUAGAGCUCUGCAUGUGUUUUGUGCCUUUGAUCCUCAUUUGGCUGAUUAAACUAGCAUCCAGGGUUAGACCGUCCAACUCGUACUGACGUCAAUGAGCCUUACACGCAAAAAAUCCUACUGAUUCCUGUGGUUCCUAUAAACCACGUGGUCUCAUAUGACGGACAGAUUGUUGGUGUAAAUUGCCAAAGCCCCACUCACACCACGAGAGGAGCUGUGCUUCAGUGGCCCCGUAUGCGUGCAAGUAUCUGGCUUCUCCCUGGACUCUGCAGCUUCCAAAGGCAAAACUACCCAAUUUGCAACCCACCCUGAACCCAUUCAGGGUAUUUUCACUGAUUGAUUUCAGAUGAUUCAGAAGUGAAUCGGAAAUGAACACAGAAACGCAUGCUAGCUUUGUACUGGGUACCUUGCACGUUGGGAUUCUCCCAAGGACAGAAGAUUUACUCUUACACGGAGUGGUCCUGCCUUCUCCCCUUACCGGUGUGACAUGUCUGACCGGCUAUGGUGCUGCCUGAGUGCAGAGUUCAGAGCUGAAGGGCUGAACUUCUCUUUCACUCCCAGUUUCUUUGCCCUUGGAUUUAUUUUACUUGCUCUUUUAACAAGGUGCUAGCUGGUGCUGCACUGGGUAUUUUCCUGCAGUCAUUCUCUACUGUGAGCACCUGAGAUAGGAGCUGCAGAAGUAACGUUGCACCUGAAUUUAAGAGGGCUGAGGAAGAAAAGGCAACUCAUCAUCUGCAGGAGCUGGCAGCACCAUUUAACCCGCUUAACAUCACACUUCUGAGUUGCUCCAGGGGGGUUACUAUGUUUUCAUAGCAAAACUCGACCGACCUCAUGUGCUAACAGCAGUGAUACCAGUAGGUCUGCUUGGGAAACACACCCUCACGCUUCCACUAUGCACCUCGCUGCUUUUGGGGACAGUGUUACCCCAGCUCAGCCGGGAGCUGGGCCUUGCUCCUGGAUCAGAGGUAAGUGACCCUGUCUUCUGAUGACAGCAAGGAAAGUUGGUCCUAAGCCUGUGCUAGAUUCAGGGUGUGGUUUGUGGGUGCUUUUUGUUGCGGGGGAUUGGGGUUGGUUUGUUUACACAUUUCACAUAAAAGAGAAGUUCUCAUCUCCGAAGCCGUAUUUCAGAGUUCCAUAAAUUUGCCCUUUUUCAUUGAAAGUAGAGAGACCUGGCAUGUCCUCACAGGAAGAAAUACUUGUUUACUAAUGCCUUGUGUUUUGCCAGGGGUGUCUGCUGGAUUCCCAGGCUGCAGUCAAAAGCCACUUCCCUUAAAUCUAACCUGCCAUUCCCUCACAGACCUGCUGCAGGCUCUCAGCCUUUACUGUCUGGUCACUGAAAGCCAGUACCCAGCCAGGGAAACCUGGUGUAAACACAAACCUACAGGAAACAGCUGCCUGACUGCUCGCAUGCUAAGGGUAGGUGGGUGGUUAGAGAGUAGAGGAGAAGGCAUCCCAGUCUGCCCUUAAUUAUGGUACCUUAAAACCACACUCUGCGGUUUUCAACCAAGGCUUCUUGUUGUCUUAGCGUGAAUGCCUGUAAAUUUGAAAUAAGUAAACGACUGUAUUGUGAGGAGUUGGCUCGGGAGAGCUGUAGCAGCAUCCUGAGGGGUUCUUUAAAUGUCAAUAACAUUUUCUAAUUCAGGCUACAGAAGUUAAGCUUGAGCGGAAUCAGCAAGUUACUGGUAUAAAUGUGUGUGGCCGUAAACAAAUACAUAUAACAGAGAAAACUUCCAGUCAAAUAAAAGCAACAACAAACUCGGUCACCCCAAAUCUAUUUUUGUUUACAGACAACUCAUUCUCGUUAUUGAAUGCGUGGAACACUUCCUGAAUAUUCCUGUACAAGCUUCCUAGCAUACGUAUUAAAUCUGUACUCCUACCUCUGCUGCCCCGUUCCUCUCCUCGCCCAGCACCCGAGGGAGCCGGCCCUGCCGCCGGCCGCAGCACGGGAGCGUGUGCGGCUCCACUGCCCUCUCCUGGGAGCAGGCGCUCGGGAGCCGGAGAGGACUCGGCCCGCAGAGCAGAAAGCUGCGCGCUGGGCUGGGUGCUCCUGGUGUUUCAGCGCCCGGGAUCUCUCUGAAGCUUUUCACCGUGGAUGUGCCACCUGUAGAGACACAAAUGCAGAGCCUUGGUGGGUCCCAGAUCCCAGGCCAGGGCAGCAAGGUUGCCUGAUGGCUGCAAUCCCACAGGCUGUGAUGACGCCCAUCUCCCCGGAGCAUUAAGGUUAGACACCACAUAACGCAGAGAGGCACUGGGAGUGAGCCAUGAAGGAGGCAUCCCAGCCAAAAAGCCCUCCAACACCCUCUCGUGUGGGGCUGGGAGGCUUGGGCAGCCCAGCCAGGCGCUCCCGCUCACUGCCGCCCACAGGGUCUCUUGCUGCCCAGGAGCCCAGCACCAACCUGGACCUGUGGCCAGUCACACCACCCGAUCUGGCCCAGAAGCAUCCCAGGUGGCCUGCAAGCUGCACACAGCUCCGUGACCGAAGUCAGCAGCUCCUCCACAUGUGUAUAAGCUGACUGGGUAAAAUAACAGCUCUGCGUGAUGCUUGCUGGAAAAGAAAAAAAAAAAAAGUUAUAUUUCACAACAGGGAGAGUAACUCAGAUAUAACUCAUACAUACACCACCCAUGUGACAAGACUCAAAAUAAUGACUUUGUUUCUGAAUAGUGAUAGUCUGACUGCUCAGCUUUACUUUGCAGCCCUUUCUUCCAAAAGCAGCUUCGCUUAACCUUAUAUUUCCUGCUCUAAUGCAUCUCCCGCACUUUGUGUGAAUAACUUUUGUCCAAAAGCUGCACCUGUCCUCUAGCCCAGAGUGAGACAGAUUGAGCACAUCCUUUAACAAUGCAAAUGGCCUUCUUCUUUGAAGGACUGAAAUAUAAGCAUAGCAAGUGUCACACUUUCAGUAAUGUUGGUUCCAUUACCUAGUGCCUGAGUACUUAAAAAGCUUGUCCAGAAGGCUUUCCAGAUGUGCUCAGUUCAGAGGAAACACCACCUUCAGGACUGAGUAAGGCUUUUUACCCUCAGCUAGAAAGUAAGGUUACAUAUCGCAUCUCUGCGGCAGACCAGGAGAGAAAGCAGAACCCCAGCACCAUUUUCCAUCCAGUCUUCUGAGACGAGAAGCAGAAGAGCUCCGGGGGGUAUUUCUCAGAAGCUUCCCACCCCUGCAGGGAAGUUGGAGCCACUCGUGGGAUUUCUGGAUUGCCAAGGACUCGUCUGUGUUUGCCCCGUCUGUGUGCUGUUUUUCACAACCUGUUCCCAUUUACGUCUCAUUUCUCCAUGCCUCGGUCUUAAACCAGUCUACCCUGAGCCUGGAAACCCCUCAGCUCUUUGCUCUAGGUAAGCCAGUCUGAGGGUGGUUUUGACUUUUCCUUAUUUCUUAUCAUCAUUUGUUUUCUGCUCCCAAGGGCAUGGCUAGAUGCUCGAGUCUCACCAGAAGACUGCGAACUCCUGAGAAGGAUGCUGAGGUUCAGUGCCAGCAAUUGUACCCACUGGAUGGUUUUCUGUCUGAAACUGCCAACAAAGUUUAUUGGAGCAGACAAUUUUAAAAAAAUCCCACGAGAGAUUAAAAUAAGCAACAUGUUUUGCUUUAAAAUUUCUAGGACCAGAUCUUCAAGCAGUGUAAAUUAGCAUAAGUUUUCUGAUGCUCUAACCCUUACAAUCUGAGUGCAAGUCAAAAUUGGGCAUGUUUUUAUUUAAGGUUUGGUUACUUUUCAAGGCUAAAACUCAAACUGCUCCUGAGGGUGGGCAUGGUGCUUUUUCAUUCUGUAUUUGGGCUGCUUCCACCUCUUUUGCAGGAGUUUAUUUCUAUCUUUGAUUUAUUUUCUCUGCUGAGAUGUAUUUUCCUUAUUCUUUCACCUCCCCUCUCAUUCAUCUGUCUCUCUUUACUCUUUAUUGUCCAACCUUUUCAGCUCUUUUCUCUCUUCCCCCUCCUGUCUUUCCUCUUCCUUGGUAGUUCCUUUUCCUUCCCCCUUAUCUCAGCAAUUGCUGCCAACAGCUAUAUUUGGAAUAGAGUGGGAACAAGCUAUUCUUGUGACUUUACUUUGAAAUAACUGAGAGGAGCAGAUGAUUUGCUUUGAACAAAUAGAGGAUACAUCGAGGAGAAGGCAGGCUAGUAAUGUCAAAAUGACAUUGUUAGGGAAUACCUGCCCAGCAGGUUUGUCUUUCCUUACUCUCAGGAUAACUUAACUAGUUAUGAGUUUCUGUUUGCUCUGUUUUAGUUUUAAAUCCUCUUUCCAGGUUAGCAGCACGAGGUCCUAACAAGCUCAUCUUCACAGUGUCUGGGCACUCGUACAUCAAGGGGAAUGACUGCCACCUAAAAUCUCAGAUGCUGGAAUUAGCUGAAACAGGAUAUAUACUUGUUUAGCACUUGAACUCAGUGCAGUUGUAUCUUCUGGUGUAGUCACAGGAUACUGUUAUAGAGUCCCACUUGAAUGGGCUAGGACAGAAAUAUGCUGGGAGGAACAACUUCCUAUCAAGCAACAUGAUUUCUCCAUGUCCUCUCGCAUUAACUCCUCAUCACCACCUGUUCCUCAUCACCACAGCCAUUUGAACUGCUGCAAGCAAUGCAUUAGCAUAGCCAGUGAGAACCAGAGCUACAUGAACGGGACAAAACAGAACGUAUUUCCCCCUGUCCUCUGUAUUUCUGUGUUUAUACGAUUAACUCCCACAUUGGCAAACCAAACAAGAAUUGAGGCCAAAUGAGAAAUUCAGCAUUAGAGCUUUGCAUUUUGUGCCUGUGCCAAAAGACGACCCAAGUCUAUUUGUCUGCUCUCAAAUGAAGCAGGUUCUAUUAAAACCAUACUGCUGUACACGUGGUUGUGUGUGAAACUGUUUCAUACAAAGAAAGAUGCGUGAAAUUAUAUGCAGAAAGAUGUAGGGAAAAAGAUCCUUAGUUGCAAGUUAAAAAAAAAUCAAAGGCAGGAAGGCUGCUAAAGCUAAAAGGAAAUGAUCCUUCCAUCCAUUAAGGACUUCCUGGGACUUUAUAAAACCAGUUAACACAAAACAUAAUGCGGGGCUAAUGUGGGGCUUUCACAGUUGUCUCUGCAAUAAUUGUUAAUACAUUCAUUUUGCCAACAGAAUAUGCAUCAAUACCAAUGCCUUAGGAGGGCAGGCUUGGCUGAGUUAUAAUGUUUUUCUACCAGAUCAUCUAAUAUAAAAGCAUCUCCGUCUUUGAGCAAACAGGCCUUUUGCCAGCUCCACACAUACUACUACCACCACACUACAAAUCUUGUAUGUGCCAUACCAAGUGGAGGCAAAGCAAGGAGAAGAAGGAAGAUAAGGAUAAGAAGUGACAUUUACUUUCAGCACUACUCUAAUUCCCAGAGACUGCCAAGUGUCUCUUUGGGCUUCACUCCCUUAAAACUGAGCACAGAAAAAUUUGGUGUAUGCUGCAGACAUAGGAAUAUAGCAAUAUCUCAUACUCCAUUAAAUGAAAGUGCAAUGGCUAAGUGUUAUUUCAUCAGUAUCGGAUGAGUUUUUGCAAUUUUGUGCUGCCAUGGAAAGCAGAUAUAUUUUCUCUAUGUUCCUAACCCCAGCUUUACAGACACAAGUGAACUUUCAGGUAUUUAGAGAACACUGCUAAGUCCACGGUGAACUCAGGUGAUUUAGCCUUCUCCUGUUACCUUCUCAUGGGCUGUCUCAUCCUCACCAUACUGAAAGCCUGCAGCUUUCCUCUCUGCCUCCUCAACUCCACAUGCUCAGCACAGCUGAGUAAGACAACUUGAAAGAGCCUCUGGAAAAUAAUACUGACUUUUAGGGCUCCCAGAGCACUAUAUGGGCUGCAGACCUGGCCAGCCUACUGAAGAAGGAGCUAGCCCACAGCUACACAGACCUCACUGGACCAGGCACCAGAAACUUUUUCCAGCGCUCUCAUCAGUGUCAAAAUACCUUUUUUUUUUUUUUUUUUUAUUACUGAGCAGAUGCAGAUGGGACUAAGGAUUGUCAGCACCUAAGCCACGACUGAACCCCACUGAGAUUUGCAACAUAGGCUUUCUCCAACAUCCUUGAUCUGGACCAGCUGAGAAGAUAAACAUUUUCUGAACCUUUCUACCACCACUCAGAACAGAGGAUGGCACUGGCAAACUUAUGGGAGCAGGACUGGCUCCACAAGGAAGAUCAGGGCACCUACCUGAAGAAGAGCCAAGGUCCAGUAGGAAUAUGCAGCUGGUGUCCUGAUUUCCACACUCUAGCUCCGAGCAGGUCAUGGGAAGCUGACAGGCUGUGCGUUUGGACAGAACGAUUACAACCACCACCAGCAAAUACUUUACAGGCAUCCUGGAAGGGACAAUCACUGUUGACUUAACCCUUGAAGAACCUGGGAAGAAAAGGUGUGAAGAAAGAGCAGCAAUGAACAGGUGUUGAUUUUUACUUCUAUCUAUAAGAAAUAUCAAAGAACAGGAAGUAUUCCCCCUGUCAUGUACAACGGACCUUCCUUACAGCUAAGCUGAAUAAUCAUCAUAUUAAGAAACCCAUCCCACAACUCAGGACAGUGCUUGUGUUAGUGCACCACUAAAACCACCACGACUGCAGCCCUGGAGGAGCUGACCAGGGCUGCUCUGGACUUUGCAGGCUUUCUGGAAAGCACACCUAUUGUAACACAACUUAAAGUUGAGAACAUGUCUAAAAAACACACACAAUGUCAGAGAAGGAAUGAAAUGGUGCUUCUCUCCCCCCCACCUCUCCAACCUCAUUACAGGCUAAGGAAAAAUAAUGUAUGGAGAAUAAUACUUCACCAUCUAAAGAGUUUUUCUGGUUUCUAAAUCUAGUGAAGAGUCAUUGUAUAUUUUGACAGAAAAAUGAAUCAAAAUAAUAAAGUGAAUACAAAAUUA